This 253-nucleotide ribosomal RNA is filed under the name uncultured bacterium. RNAcentral's name for it is "partial 16S ribosomal RNA". It matches the Rfam family "Bacterial small subunit ribosomal RNA", at positions 524 to 776 of the family's 1533-position model. The record is from RNAcentral.
UACGGAGGGUGCAAACGUUGCUCGGAAUCAUUGGGCGUAAAGCGCACGUAGGCGGCUCGUUAAGUCGGAUGUGAAAGCCCUCGGCUCAACCGAGGAAGUGCAUACGAAACUGGCGAGCUUGAAUAUGGAAGAGGGUCGCGGAAUUCCCGGUGUAGAGGUGAAAUGCGUAGAUAUCAAGUGGAACACCAGUGGCGAAGGCGAGUCUCUGGACAUUUCCUGACGCUGAGGCACGAAAGCCAGGGGAGCAAACGGG